Molecule: ribosomal RNA, 465 nt
Filed under: uncultured bacterium
Lineage: Bacteria
Description: partial 16S ribosomal RNA
Rfam family: Bacterial small subunit ribosomal RNA
Source: RNAcentral
CCUACGGGAGGCAGCAGUAGGGAAUCUUCCACAAUGGGCGAAAGCCUGAUGGAGCAACGCCGCGUGGGUGAAGAAGGUCUUCGGAUCGUAAAACCCUGUUGUUAGAGAAGAAAGUGCGUGAGAGUAACUGUUCACGUUUCGAUGGUAUCUAACCAGAAAGCCACGGCUAACUACGUGCCAGCAGCCGCGGUGAUACGUAGGUGGCAAGCGUUAUCCGGGUUGAUUGGGCGUAAAGGGAACGCAGGCGGGCUUUUAAGUCUGAUGUGAAAUUCUUCGGCUUAACCGGAGUAGUGCAUUGGAAACUGGGAGACUUGAGUGCAGAAGAGGAGAGUGGAACGCCAUGUGUAGCGGUGAAAUGCGUAGAUAUAUGGAAGAACACCAGUGGCGAAGGCGGCUCUCUGGUCUGUAACUGACGCUGAGGUUCGAAAGCGUGGGUAGCAAACAGGAUUAGAUACCCGAGUAGUC